RNAcentral lists this transfer RNA (73 nucleotides) under Ictidomys tridecemlineatus (thirteen-lined ground squirrel). RNAcentral describes it as "Spermophilus tridecemlineatus (thirteen-lined ground squirrel) tRNA". It matches the Rfam family "tRNA". From Rfam's summary of the family: Transfer RNA (tRNA) molecules are approximately 80 nucleotides in length. Their secondary structure includes four short double-helical elements and three loops (D, anti-codon, and T loops). The record is from Rfam by way of RNAcentral. Lineage: Eukaryota; Metazoa; Chordata; Mammalia; Rodentia; Sciuridae.
GGGGAUAUAGCUCAGUUGGUAGAGUACUUGCCUCACAUGCACAAGGCCCUGGGUUCAAUCCCCAGUACCACAA